RNAcentral lists this ribosomal RNA (280 nucleotides) under unidentified marine bacterioplankton. RNAcentral's name for it is "partial 16S ribosomal RNA". It matches the Rfam family "Bacterial small subunit ribosomal RNA", at positions 56 to 339 of the family's 1533-position model. The record is from RNAcentral.
UGCAAGUCGAACGGCAGCGCGGACUUCGGUCUGGCGGCGAGUGGCGAACGGGUGAGUAAUAUAUCGGAACGUACCCAGUAGCGGGGGAUAACUACUCAAAAGAGUAGCUAAUACCGCACACGCCUACGGGGGAAAGGGGAGAAUCGCAAGACCUCUCACUAUUGGAGCGGCCGAUAUCGGAUUAGCUAGUUGGUGGGGUAAAGGCCUACCAAGGCGACGAUCCGUAGCUGGUUUGAGAGGACGACCAGCCACACUGGGACUGAGACACGGCCCAGACUCC